CAUCUCUUUUUGAUAAUGAUUUAAGGUUUAAUCUGCUCAAUGAAAUUUAAAUAGCUGCAGUAAUUUAACUGUACAAAGGUAGCAUAAUAAAUUGUUUCUUAAUUAGAAACUUGAAUGAAUGAUUGGACGAGAAAUUAACUGUCUUUUUUUGAAUUAUUGAAUUUAACUUUAAGGUAAAAAGGCUUUAAUUUUUAUAAGGGACAAGAAGACCCUAUAGAGUUUUAUUGAUAUCUUGAUAAUAAAUUUUAUAUAAUUAAUUUUUUUUAUUGUUUUAUUAAUUUAGUUGGGGUUAUUAGAAAAUUAAUUAAAUUUUUCUUUUUGAAUCAUAGAUUUAUGAUUAAUAUUAUAUUUAUUAAAAAAUUUAAAUUAAAUUACCUUAGGGAUAACAGCGUAAUUUUUAUUAGAAGUUCUUAUUUUAAUAAAAGAUUGCGACCUCGAUGUUGGAUUAAAAUUUAAUUUUGAUGGAGAUAUCAAUAAUUUAAGUCUGUUCGACUUUUAAAAUUUUACAUGAUCUGAGU
RNAcentral lists this ribosomal RNA (518 nucleotides) under Phengodidae sp. UPOL 001350. Its description in RNAcentral is "partial 16S ribosomal RNA". The stretch from base 382 to 518 matches the Rfam family "Bacterial large subunit ribosomal RNA", at positions 2473 to 2610 of the family's 2925-position model. Lineage: Eukaryota; Metazoa; Arthropoda; Insecta; Coleoptera; Phengodidae. The record is from RNAcentral.